GAUCCUGGCUCAGGAUGAACGCUGGCGGCGCGCCUAACACAUGCAAGUCGAACGAUUAAAGCACCUUCGGGUGUGUAUAAAGUGGCGAACGGCUGAGUAACACGUGGGCAACCUGCCCCUCUCAUUGGGAUAGCCACGGGAAACCGUGGAUAAUACCGAAUACUUCGAGUCUCCCGCAUGGAAGACUCGAGAAAGCUCCAGCGGAGAGGGAUGGGCCCGCGGCCUGUUAGCUUGUUGGUGGGGUAACGG
RNAcentral lists this ribosomal RNA (249 nucleotides) under uncultured bacterium. RNAcentral's name for it is "partial 16S ribosomal RNA". It matches the Rfam family "Bacterial small subunit ribosomal RNA", at positions 15 to 263 of the family's 1533-position model. The record is from RNAcentral.